UCUGUAGGCGGACGUUUAGGUCUGGUGUGACAUCUCGCGGCUUAACUGCGAGCGAGCGCCGGAAACCGGACGACUAGAAUCACGUCGAGGUCGGUGGAAUUCCCGGUGUAGUGGUGGAAUGCGUAGAGAUCGGGAGGAACCUCGAAAGCGAAGGCAGCCGGCUAGACGAUGAUUGACGCUGAGGGACGAUAGCGUGGGUAGCAAACAGGAUUAGAUACCCUGGUAGUCCACGCCGUAAACGAUGUAUGCUCGGUGUGUGCGGGUAAAACCGUGCGCGCCUCAGCCAACGCGAUAAGCAUACCGCCUGGGGAGUACGGCCGCAAGGCUAAA
Molecule: ribosomal RNA, 330 nt
Filed under: uncultured bacterium
Lineage: Bacteria
Description: bacterial SSU rRNA
Rfam family: Bacterial small subunit ribosomal RNA
Source: RNAcentral